This 150-nucleotide small nuclear RNA is filed under the name Vigna radiata var. radiata (mung bean). RNAcentral describes it as "snRNA U4". It matches the Rfam family "U4 spliceosomal RNA". From Rfam's summary of the family: U4 small nuclear RNA (U4 snRNA) is a component of the major U2-dependent spliceosome. The structure of U4 snRNA from yeast and human has been reported. Lineage: Eukaryota; Viridiplantae; Streptophyta; Magnoliopsida; Fabales; Fabaceae. The record is from Rfam by way of RNAcentral.
AUCUUUGCGCUUGGGGCAAUGACGCAGCUAGUGAGGUUCUAACCGAGGCGCGUCUAUUGCUGGUUGAAAACUAUUUCCAAACCCCCUCUUAGGCCUUGGUUCAUCCUGGGCCUACGAGAAUUUCUGGAAGGACUCCCUUAGAGGCAAGUC